AUAUAAGAUUAACGUCCAGUCAUUUUCAAAGCAGUAUGCCUGGUCUUUCAUUUCGGAUAAUUUAGUUUAUGUAAACAAGAUAGUUGAAUCGCAGAAUAGUGUUUCAAGUUUUUGCUCGUAAAAAAAAGCGGAGAGGACUGAUAUGCAGACCCGUGGACAUGUUUCAUCUGAAAUUGAACCUAGUGGAGUGAUGGCUUCUCAUUUGACUAUAGCAACUAACAACUGAAACACCAUAUCGUGUCUUACGACAUGGUAAACGACGUGAUAACAAAAAUCAAUU
RNAcentral lists this long non-coding RNA (280 nucleotides) under Mytilus galloprovincialis (Mediterranean mussel). The record is from RNAcentral. Lineage: Eukaryota; Metazoa; Mollusca; Bivalvia; Mytilida; Mytilidae.